This 577-nucleotide long non-coding RNA is filed under the name Homo sapiens (human). RNAcentral describes it as "HSALNT0142124". Lineage: Eukaryota; Metazoa; Chordata; Mammalia; Primates; Hominidae. The record is from RNAcentral.
AGGUUUGAAAAUUUGCUUUUAUGCAAUGACAGAGUCUUGCUGUGUCACCAGGCUGGAGUGCAGUGGCGCGAUCUCAGCUCACUGCAACCUCCGCCUCUUGGGUUCAAGCGAUUCUCCUGCCUCAACCUCCUGCGUAGCUGGGACCACAGCCAUGCGCCACCACGACAAGCUAAUUUUUGUAUUUUUGGUAGAGAUAGAGUUUCACCAUGUUGGCCAGGAUGGUCUUGAUCUCCUGACUUCAUGAUACGCCCACCUCGGCGGAUCCCAAAGUACAUCAGUUUUUUUCAGUUUGUUGUUUUCAUGUUGUAUUUUAUGUCUUUCAAUUUUCUGUUUUAAGAGUGUCACCUAUAAAGCACGUUUUUUUGUUUGUUUGUUUGCUUUUUACUGAGUUUGACAAUCUUAGUGACAACUGAAGUAUUUAGUCUAUGGUGAAUCAUAAUAAUUACUAAAAUAGUGGGGUUUUAAUUAGCCAUAUAACUAUGUUUUUAGUUCACCUAUUCCUUGUUUUCUUUUUUAAUUUUUAUCUCUUCAACAGCUUUUGAAUUAAUAAUUUUUUUCUUUAUUUGGUUUCUUAGUU